UAUUGGUUUAAAGGGAGCGUAGGCGGACGCUUAAGUCAGUUGUGAAAGUUUGCGGCUCAACCGUAAAAUUGCAGUUGAUACUGGGUGUCUUGAGUACAGUAGAGGCAGGCGGAAUUCGUGGUGUAGCGGUGAAAUGCUUAGAUAUCACGAAGAACUCCGAUUGCGAAGGCAGCCCGCUGGACUGUAACUGACGCUGAUGCUCGAAAGUGUGGGUAUCAAACAGGAUUAGAUACCCUGGUAGUCCACACAGUAAACGAUGAAUACUCGCUGUUUGCGAUAUACAGUAAGCGGCCAAGCGAAAGCGUUAAGUAUUCCACCUGGGGAGUACGCCGGCAACGGUGAAACUCAAAGGAAUUGACGGGGGCCCGCACAAGCGGAGGAACAUGUGGUUUAAUUCGAUGAUACGCGAGGAACCUUACCCGGGCUUGAAUUGCAACUGAAUGAUGUGGAGACAUGUCAGCCGCAAGGCAGUUGUGAAGGUGCUGCAUGGUUGUCGUCAGCUCGUGCCGUGAGGUGUCGGCUUAAGUGCCAUAACGAGCGCAACCCUUAUCGAUAGUUACCAUCAGGUGAUGCUGGGGACUCUGUCGAGACUGCCGUCGUAAGAUGUGAGGAAGGUGGGGAUGACGUCAAAUCAGCACGGCCCUUACGUCCGGGGCUACACACGUGUUACAAUGGGGGGUACAGAAGGCAGCUACACGGCGACGUGAUGCUAAUCCCGAAGGCCUCUCUCAGUUCGGAUUGGAGUCUGCAACCCGACUCCAUGAAGCUGGAUUCGCUAGUAAUCGCGCAUCAGCCACGGCGCGGUGAAUACGUUCCCGGGCCUUGUACACACCGCCCGUCAAGCCAUGAAAGCCGGGGGUACCUGAAGUGCGUAACCGCGAGGAGCGCCCUAGGGUAAAACUGGUGAUUG
RNAcentral lists this ribosomal RNA (910 nucleotides) under uncultured organism. RNAcentral describes it as "SSU rRNA". It matches the Rfam family "Bacterial small subunit ribosomal RNA", at positions 553 to 1477 of the family's 1533-position model. The record is from RNAcentral.